Molecule: transfer RNA, 74 nt
Filed under: Bacillus subtilis
Lineage: Bacteria; Bacillati; Bacillota; Bacilli; Caryophanales; Bacillaceae
Description: tRNA-Asn
Rfam family: tRNA
About the family: Transfer RNA (tRNA) molecules are approximately 80 nucleotides in length. Their secondary structure includes four short double-helical elements and three loops (D, anti-codon, and T loops).
Source: RNAcentral
UGGGAUAUAGCCAAGUGGUAAGGCAACAUGCUGUUAACAUGUCUAUUUCGUAGGUUCGAAUCCUACUAUCCCAG